GACGAACGCUGGCGGCGUGCCUAAUACAUGCAAGUCGAGCGCUAAAGGAUGAUAAUCGUACCCACUGGGUGAGCAGCGAACGGGUGAGUAACGCGUAGGGCAUCUGCCUUUGAGCGGGGGACAACAUCGGGAAGCGACUGAUACUACCGCAUAAAAACUUUAAACACAAGUAUCAAGGUUGAAAGAUGCAAUUGGCUCACUCAAGUACGAUCCGACGUUGUAUUAGCUAGUUGGUGGGGUAAAGGCCCACCAAGGCGAGGAUCCGUAGCCGCCUUGAGAGGGGGUUGGGCAACUCUGGAAUUGAGAAACGCCCCAGCCCCCUACGGGGGGCACCGGUGGGGAUCUUUGGACAAGGGAGGAAAUCCGGACGAGGCACGACCGGGUAGGUGAGGAAGGUCUCCGGUUGGUAAAGCCUUUUUGUAGGGAAAGACGGUGGUGAGGUUGGAACGCCCAUCUAGUGACGGUACCUACAGAGUAAGCGCCGGCUAACUACGUG
RNAcentral lists this ribosomal RNA (496 nucleotides) under uncultured bacterium. Its description in RNAcentral is "partial 16S ribosomal RNA". It matches the Rfam family "Bacterial small subunit ribosomal RNA", at positions 28 to 507 of the family's 1533-position model. The record is from RNAcentral.